RNAcentral lists this ribosomal RNA (490 nucleotides) under uncultured bacterium. Its description in RNAcentral is "partial 16S ribosomal RNA". It matches the Rfam family "Bacterial small subunit ribosomal RNA", at positions 30 to 507 of the family's 1533-position model. The record is from RNAcentral.
AUUGAACGCUGGCGGCAGGCCUAACACAUGCAAGUCGAACGGUAACAGGAAGAAGCUUGCUUCUUUGCUGACGAGUGGCGGACGGGUGAGUAAUGUCUGGGAAACUGCCUGAUGGAGGGGGAUAACUACUGGAAACGGUAGCUAAUACCGCAUACCGUCGCAAGACCAAAAAGGGGGACCUUCGGGCCUCUUGCCAUCGGAUGUGCCCCGAUGGGAUUAGCUAGUAGGUGGGGUAACGGCUCACCUAGGCGACGAUCCCUAGCUGGUCUGAGAGGAUGACCAGCCACACUGGAACUGAGACACGGUCCAGACUCCUACGGGAGGCAGCAGUGGGGAAUAUUGCACAAUGGGCGCAAGCCUGAUGCAGCCAUGCCGCGUGUAUGAAGAAGGCCUUCGGGUUGUAAAGUACUUUCAGCGGGGAGGAAGGGAGUAAAGUUAAUACCUUUGCUCAUUGGCGUUACCCGCAGAAGAAGCACCGGCUAACUCCGUG